ACAGUCACACAUUAGAUACCCCGGUAGUCCUAGCCGUAAACGAUACUCGCUAGGUGUCGGCCACGGUGCGACCGUUGUCGGUGCCGUAGGGAAGCCGUGAAGCGAGCCACCUGGGAAGUACGGCCGCAAGGCUGAAACUUAAAGGAAUUGGCGGGGAGCACCACAACGGGUGGAGCUUGCGGUUUAAUUGGAUUCAACGCCGGAAAUCUUACCGGGACCGACAGCAACAUGAAGGCCAGGCUGAAGACUUUGCCGGAUUAGCUG
RNAcentral lists this ribosomal RNA (264 nucleotides) under uncultured archaeon. RNAcentral describes it as "partial 16S ribosomal RNA". It matches the Rfam family "Archaeal small subunit ribosomal RNA", at positions 719 to 982 of the family's 1478-position model. The record is from RNAcentral.